UACGGAAGGCAGCAGUGGGGAAUAUUGCACAAUGGGCGCAAGCCUGAUGCGGCCAUGCCGCGUGUAUGAAAAAGGCCUUCGGGUUGUAAAGUACUUUCAGUCGUGAGGAAGGUGUUAAGGUUAAUAACCUUAGCAAUUGACGUUAGCGACAGAAGAAGCACCGGCUAACUCCGUGCCAGCAGCCGCGGUAAUACGGAGGGUGCGAGCGUUAAUCGGAAUUACUGGGCGUAAAGGGCACGCAGGCGGUUAAUUAAGUUGGAUGUGAAAUCCCCGGGCUUAACCUGGGAAUGGCAUUCAAGACUGGUUAGCUAGAGUCUUGUAGAGGGGGUAGAAUUCCAUGUGUAGCGGUGAAAUGCGUAGAGAUGUGGAGGAAUACCGGUGGCGAAGGCGGCCCCUGGACAAAGACUGACGCUCAUGUGCGAAAGCGUGGGGAGCAAACAGGGAUUAGGAUACC
RNAcentral lists this ribosomal RNA (454 nucleotides) under uncultured bacterium. Its description in RNAcentral is "bacterial SSU rRNA". It matches the Rfam family "Bacterial small subunit ribosomal RNA", at positions 340 to 786 of the family's 1533-position model. The record is from RNAcentral.